This is a long non-coding RNA of Stegodyphus dumicola, 811 nucleotides long. Lineage: Eukaryota; Metazoa; Arthropoda; Arachnida; Araneae; Eresidae. The record is from RefSeq and is a predicted model, not a curated record.
GCAGAUGUAUAAGCAUAAAAGAAAAGAAUAACUUUUAAAUAGUUUUGCAGUGUACCAGCCUCUUGUCCCUUUGAAAUACUUUAUGAAGAAAGUGAAAAUCCUUUUAGCGCGAUAAAGUUUGCUAUAACCUUCCUAAAGGUGAAUGCAUUUUCUCUGUGUUGUGGUAUCUUAACGGAUGUUUUCUGUGGUUUAAAAUCAAUAUUUUUCUUUCCCCGCAGGCGUUGAGCUACGGUCUCACAGGGACAGAGUUAUUUACGGGGUUUCAGAAAGAAGCAGAAGAAAACAUGAGAAAAAGAGAUCUUGGAGAGAAUCUGGAGAUGGGAACUCAAGUACGGAGUCCGAUAAUGAAGAUAUAAUGUACGCAGUUCAUUCAUCGGAUGACAGGAUACUGAGAGAUGAAGCGAGAGAAUCUGAAACGGAGUGUGACAGAUUAUGGAAAACUUAUGAAAGUUGCCAAUAUGAAGACACAAAAAGAUGGACAGCUGAGCAUCCGGUUUUGAGCUAGAACUCAAGUGAAAAGUAUUCGUGCCAAUGGAAUUCUUUGCUUUAUUACAUAAAGAAGUGGAUGUUUAUACCGUGUUUAUUUCCAACUUCUGAGUCAAAUUUUCAGGAGUACUUGUCAUUCACAGAGAAUAUAUUCAGAAUGAAAAGAUUUAUAGAGAUGUAAUGUAACAGAUAUGCUGAUUUGGUAAAAAUGAUAUUUUAAAGAGAAAUUUUGUGAUGAAAAAUUUCUAGAUUGUUCAUAUGUGAUAUGUAAAUGAGUUUAUUGGAGUACAUUUCAGCAUCAUUUAUGUACAGAAAAUUUUAAGAA